This 370-nucleotide unclassified non-coding RNA is filed under the name Hevea brasiliensis (rubber tree). Lineage: Eukaryota; Viridiplantae; Streptophyta; Magnoliopsida; Malpighiales; Euphorbiaceae. The record is from RNAcentral.
UCCGGGUUGUAACACGUUACACUUGGCCUCUCCUUGAUUUGCUUACAGAAGGUUUAUUUUUCUGGGUUGCAAUUUGGUUUUCUGGAGAUGACUGGUUCUUUGAUUUUGUUGCUGUGGUUUUCAUGUUUGGAAGGCAGCUAGAAUGAAGCUGGCUUGGCUUUGUUUUGUCCUUUGACUUGAUAUGAGAUGAGGAUCUCUCUGUUCAUUGUUGUGGCUUCCAGCUCUGUGCGUGAGUAAGCAAGCAUUUGCUUCUCUGAUGAUGUUACACUUAUAAUUCUGUUCUUUUCCCAUUUAAGAUAUUUCCUUGUUUUAGAGGAAUUGUGGCUGGCAUUUCCAUAAAUAAGGUUUGCAGAUUUUUUUUUUUCUGUAG